UACAGAGGGGGCAAGCGUUAUUCGGAAUUAUUGGGCGUAAAGGGCGCGUAGGCGGUUUCUUAAGUCGGAUGUGCAAUCCCCGGGCUCAACCCGGGAACUGCAUCCGAGACUGGGAGGCUAGAGUACUGGAGAGGUUGGUGGAAUUCCUCGUGUAGCGGUGAAAUGCGUAGAGAUGAGGAGGAACACCAGUGGCGAAGGCGGCCAACUGGACAGUAACUGACGCUGAGGCGCGAAAGCGUGGGUAG
This 245-nucleotide ribosomal RNA is filed under the name uncultured bacterium. RNAcentral describes it as "partial 16S ribosomal RNA". It matches the Rfam family "Bacterial small subunit ribosomal RNA", at positions 524 to 768 of the family's 1533-position model. The record is from RNAcentral.